AUGGACAACCAGGAACAAGAUAUUCCAGACCCCUUUCUUGCAUUAGAAAUAGAGUUAUCCCGGUUAAAUGAAAACGCAGAUCAUUCACAGAAUACACCUCCGCAGAAUCAUGAACACCCUGAGGUGAUCAAUAAUAAUAACGAUCCUCUAGAACUGAUUGAUUUGGCUCUUGCACAACUAGCCCGUAGUGAAAGUGCCCCCCAAAAUAACACUCAGAAUUUAGGAUUCGAGCAUGUUGAGGCUCAUUCUCAGCAAAACCUUGCCUCUUCUGACCCUUUCGCGGCUCUUAAUAGCGCUUUAGAAGCCUUAGCACAAAUACAGCACGAGGUUCAAAUACCUCCAGAAUUAUUGAGUCAAAUAAAUAGGUUAAAUCAAAAUAUUUUUAAUGAUAGUCAGCAUUUGCUCAGUUCUACACCACGCGGGGAGUCUGUUAACCACAGUCCACCCCUACCGUUGAUAAACGGUUUCAAUGAGUCUAAUCAACAACAAUCGUCUGAGAUUGUCUCUGUUAACCCCAUGAAUAAUGUGUCCGAUCACCCCUUUCAACAAGGGGGUAAUCCAGAGCAGGGGUGUUCCAACAAUUCAUCACAGCCGCAUAUAAUUGUCAGAAAUAAAUUUAAUAACGUUCAAAUUAGAGAAAUUUUGAAUUUCCCUCCUCCAAACGAUAUACCUGAUUACGCCCGAUAUUAUGAAGGUAUAAUGGCCGGGGCCCGUGAAAUUUCAGACAGGAUUUUCUCACAUGCACGUCCAGGUGAUCUUAUACAAUUAGAGUUGAUAGGGCCUCAGCUGCAGAAUAAUGUUUCAGUCAUUUUAAGGGACAAUUGUGAUUUAACUGAAUUUGAAAAUCUGUUCCUGAGAACCGUUCAGUCAAAUUGGUCCGUUAUGUGUGAAGGCUCGCUCGAGCUUGUAGCUCAGAUCGUUAGACCCCCGUCAGGUAGUGGAAAAAGGAUGCUUAAACACAUACUUGACAAUGAAAUUGUCAGAAAGAAAAGGCGCUUUUUAUAUAUUGUUCAUAACCCCGCAAAUAAGUUAUGUUUGCUAUAA
This 1044-nucleotide long non-coding RNA is filed under the name Oreochromis niloticus (Nile tilapia). RNAcentral describes it as "lncRNA (ENSONIG00000029307.1)". The record is from RNAcentral. Lineage: Eukaryota; Metazoa; Chordata; Actinopteri; Cichliformes; Cichlidae.